This 568-nucleotide long non-coding RNA is filed under the name Fukomys damarensis (Damara mole-rat). Its description in RNAcentral is "lncRNA (ENSFDAG00000025279.1)". The record is from RNAcentral. Lineage: Eukaryota; Metazoa; Chordata; Mammalia; Rodentia; Bathyergidae.
GAAAGUCCAGACAACUGUGCCUGUGCCUGGUGAGGGCUCUCUGGUUGUCUUACACCAUGGCGGAUGGUGUUAUACAGCAAGAGCACAAGCAAAAGAGAGGUAACAUGGCUGGAGCAGAAGCAAGAGAGUAUGCUGAGGAAUCCUGCAAAAAUACUGGGAGAGCCAGGCCUGCUUUAGAUAUGAAUUCUAAGACAACAAUCCACUCUCAAGAGAGCUAAUCCAUUUGGCAAGAUCUACCCCUCUCAGGGAGACAGCACUAACCCACUCAUGAAGGUGGAGCCCCAUAACCUUCUCACCUUCCACAUACAGGUACACCUUUUACAGGUCCUCACUCCUCAAUACCAUGAUGUUGGCCACCAAGCUUCCAGUACAUGAGCCUUUCAGGGACAAAUCACAUAUCCAAUGUAAAGGCAUCCAUAUACAGGAAAGACUCUCUGAAUGCCAUGUGUUUAUGAAGAGCUCAUCUACAAACCUACGUGGGAUUUACAAAGUGUGUACCAAGAAGAACAUGGCACUAUGGAGAAGCAAGAAGUCUCCCUGGCUGAAUAGGAACCUGCACUAGACCGCA